RNAcentral lists this long non-coding RNA (290 nucleotides) under Elaeis guineensis (African oil palm). RNAcentral's name for it is "long non-coding RNA (EGUI_LNC082324)". The record is from RNAcentral. Lineage: Eukaryota; Viridiplantae; Streptophyta; Magnoliopsida; Arecales; Arecaceae.
UUGAAGAUCCACUUACACUCUAUGGGCUUUACCCUUCGAGUGAAUCAACGAAUAUCCAUACACCAUUGAUCUUUAUGGACUUCAUUUCGGACUCUAUAGCUCCAAGCCAUUAAUCAGAGUCGGAUCUCUGUAUGGCAUCCAUGUAGAUGAUCAAAUCGUUAUUGUUCUCAUCGAGUUCAAUAGGAUCACAUCCUAGAAUUAGAUACCAAAGUAUCUAUCCGACGGACGUGGUGCUCUAUCGGAUCUCCUUAAUGGUGCCUCUACAAUAGAUUCUAGAUUUGAUCUAAUCA